RNAcentral lists this ribosomal RNA (548 nucleotides) under uncultured bacterium. Its description in RNAcentral is "bacterial SSU rRNA". It matches the Rfam family "Bacterial small subunit ribosomal RNA", at positions 355 to 895 of the family's 1533-position model. The record is from RNAcentral.
UAGGGAAUCUUCGGCAAUGGACGGAAGUCUGACCGAGCAACGCCGCGUGAGUGAAGAAGGUUUUCGGAUCGUAAAGCUCUGUUGUAAGAGAAGAACGAGUGUGAGAGUGGAAAGUUCACACUGUGACGGUAUCUUACCAGAGAGGGACGGCUAACUACGUGCCAGCAGCCGCGGUAAUACGUAGGUCCCGAGCGUUGUCCGGAUUUAUUGGGCGUAAAGCGAGCGCAGGCGGUUAGAUAAGUCUGAAGUUAAAGGCUGUGGCUUAACCAUAGUACGCUUUGGAAACUGUUUAACUUGAGUGCAAGAGGGGAGAGUGGAAUUCCAUGUGUAGCGGUGAAAUGCGUAGAUAUAUGGAGGAACACCGGUGGCGAAAGCGGCUCUCUGGCUUGUAACUGACGCUGAGGCUCGAAAGCGUGGGGAGCAAACAGGAUUAGAUACCCUGGUAGUCCACGCCGUAACGAUGAGUGCUAGGUGUUAGACCCUUUCCGGGGUUUAGUGUCGCAGCUAACGCAUUAAGCACUCCGCCUGGGGAGUACGACCGCAAGGUU